AUGUGGUGUGGGCGCCGAUUCAAAAUCACUAGCGAGUCCUACUUCAACUGCAAUGCAAUGGGAAAAGAAGCAAGGAGUACAAGGAACACACAUUAUGUUAACAGAAUGAGCGUCUUGAGCUGGUGCGGCGUUCGUGCGGGGCUGGUGCACGAGGUAGGAGCCAGCUGCACUCGCCUCUUCUUCCCCAGAGGGUGCAGGAGACGUUCCUCGCCCACACUUAAUUCAGUGAAAAGAUUCAAUGGAGUAGGAGGACGAGCAGCAGCAGCAAAUCAGCCUGAUGAUGAUGGGGUGCAGAAGGCAAUGGUGAUCAUGCUGAUGGCAUGA
RNAcentral lists this ribosomal RNA (324 nucleotides) under Triticum aestivum (bread wheat). Its description in RNAcentral is "partial small subunit ribosomal RNA". Lineage: Eukaryota; Viridiplantae; Streptophyta; Magnoliopsida; Poales; Poaceae. The record is from RNAcentral.